This 2135-nucleotide long non-coding RNA is filed under the name Homo sapiens (human). RNAcentral's name for it is "HSALNT0214176". Lineage: Eukaryota; Metazoa; Chordata; Mammalia; Primates; Hominidae. The record is from RNAcentral.
CAGCAACCCUUCUGGGUCCCCUUCCACCACGCAGAAGCUUUACUUUCGCUUUCACUUUACUUUUGCUUUCACUUUAACAAAUCUUGCAGCCGCACACUCUUUGGGUCCGCCCGUUUCUCUAAUCAAGUUGUAACACUCGCUGCUGUGGUCCACAGCUUCAUUCCUUGAAGCCCGUGAGACACGAACGCUUCCAUUGAGAAAAACCUUCCAUCAGAAGAAGACUUCUCGUCUCAGUGGGACUGCUGAGUUGAAUGGAUGACCUUUGUUUGUUUAAACUGUUGGAAAAUCAAUAUUUAAAAUGAAAUCUAGAAACUGAAGUGUGCCCUCUGCAGGAUCACCAGAAUGAUGGGAAAACUGAACACAAUCAACUCAUGAACUCCCCAAGAUGCUGCAGGAACUACAGACCCAGGAAAUCAACUGUUAUGACUGACUCUCAAUUAAAAUCAGUGCCUGCCUCUGAGCUAUUGAUGAUUCUAAAAAGUACAGCAUCCACUACCAUUACUUCCUUAUGUAUAAGGGCUGUCACUCUUUAAGCAAAAUAAACAGAUUUUUGAGCAUCAUCUCUUUUUUGGAUCAUCAUUUUGCAAGUGGAGAUUGUGCUUUUUUUUCUGAAGCUUUGGUAGUGUAACUGUAAGAGUCCUGGAAUUGGAAAAGCAAAUCCAGAAGUUGAGUUCCAUGACUUUUUUGCUGUUUGCCUUUGGACUUGCAUCAUUUAUAUUUUUAAUUCAUCGAGGAUGAGAAAAUUGAUUAACACAAAAUCUUUUCAUGUCUUUUCUGAUGAGAGACUAGCUGAAUCCAAGAAGAGAAGCCCUUGAAGAGUGUAUUCUAUUCUAGACAAGCAUUCACACAUUGGCUUCUUUGGUGCCAGCAUGUUUCUGAUCAGCAUGAAAACUGCGCAGGAGCUUUUCUGUCUUGCAGAGCUAGUUAAUGAGAUUGUUGCUGCCUUCAGAUUCUAUAAAGGACUUCUCCAAUAUUGGAUUAAAGAAUGAAGAAAGGAUCAAAUUGAGACAUCCAGGGGGGAAGAGUUCCCUGGCAAAACUCCAAUCUGCCUGAGCACUGAGGUGGAGCCACAGAAGUCCGGGUCAUUUGCACCUGGGAGGAGCCUGGCCCCUCCUCUUCCUGUGUGGAAUCUGGGAUUUAAUCUGUGAGGAGGGAAGGCCAAGGGCAGGAAGCACAGGCUCUCACUUCACUAAGAGUCUCUGUUUCCCCUUUUUUUCCUUUAUGCCUAAUUAAUAAAUCCCAUUUUUCUCACUCUUCAAAUAGUCUUCAAGCCUAAAUUUUCAUGACCAUGGAACAAGGACCCCAUCUUUAGCUGAACUAAGGAAAAGUCCUGCAACAAAAUUCUUUGCUAAAAAUACAUGAGGUUGCCUUUUCCUUCUUAAUCUUAAAAGAAAUAUAUUUCAAUGGUUAACGUUUUAGUAAUUCAAAAAUUAUCAAGCAUUUGUUCACAACCAUAAGAUGUGCAUUGUUUUAUAUUCCUACUUAAUAAUAGACUAUAAUUGUCUAAUUAGACUGCCGAUGUUGAUCUUUGUGGCUCAUUGCAUUGAUUAUAAGCAGUGUUUUGGGUUUGUGUGUGUGUGUCAAAUUUAGGGUUUUUUUGGUAUGGCUGCUGGUUGGUGUAGCCUGUAUCCAGUAUCCUGUAUUAAUUCUAAUAUUUGCAUUUUGAACAUAUUUACAAGUUGCUAAAAUAGCAAAGCUUCGAGAUGAGCCUGGCUGAUAUGGCAAAACCCCGUCUCUACUAAAAAUACAAAAAUUAGCCUGGUGUGGUGGUGCAUGCCUGUAAUCCCAGCUACUUGGAAGUCUGAGGCAGGAGAAUCUCUUGAACCCAGAAGGUGGAGGUUGCAGUGGGCCAAGAUCGCACCACUGCACUCCAGCCUCGGUGAUAGAGCGAGACUACGUCUCAAAAAUAAAAUAAAAUAAAAUAAAAUAAAAAUAGCAAAGCUAUGUAUGGUUUCUCUGAGUUUUGUAAUUUAUCAUUGUUAACUGCAGAAAUUUAUUAUAUGAGACAUAUUAUAUGAGACAUAUAAGUGAAUUUGGAUUGGGUUUAAUUUUAUAUUUUUGAAUAUAGUUCUUCAAGAUAAAUUUUAUCUUAGACCUCAAGAAAUAAAAAUAAAAUAAAUUAGAUAUACAAACGA